CUGUGAGGCAUGCUGGAGGUAUCAGAAGUGCGAAUGCUGACAUAAGUAACGAUAAAGCGGGUGAAAAGCCCGCUCGCCGGAAGACCAAGGGUUCCUGUCCAACGUUAAUCGGGGCAGGGUGAGUCGACCCCUAAGGCGAGGCCGAAAGGCGUAGUCGAUGGGAAACAGGUUAAUAUUCCUGUACUUGGUGUUACUGCGAAGGGGGGACGGAGAAGGCUAUGUUGGCCGGGCGACGGUUGUCCCGGUUUAAGCGUGUAGGCUGGUUUUCCAGGCAAAUCCGGAAAAUCAAGGCUGAGGCGUGAUGACGAGGCACUACGGUGCUGAAGCAACAAAUGCCCUGCUUCCAGGAAAAGCCUCUAAGCAUCAGGUAACAUUAAAUCGUACCCCAAACCGACACAGGUGGUCAGGUAGAGAAUACCAAGGCGCUUGAGAGAACUCGGGUGAAGGAACUAGGCAAAAUGGUGCCGUAACUUCGGGAGAAGGCACGCUGAUAUGUAGGUGAAGUCCCUCGCGGAUGGAGCUGAAAUCAGUCGAAGAUACCAGCUGGCUGCAACUGUUUAUUAAAAACACAGCACUGUGCAAACACGAAAGUGGACGUAUACGGUGUGACGCCUGCCCGGUGCCGGAAGGUUAAUUGAUGGGGUUAGCGGUAACGCGAAGCUCUUGAUCGAAGCCCCGGUAAACGGCGGCCGUAACUAUAACGGUCCUAAGGUAGCGAAAUUCCUUGUCGGGUAAGUUCCGACCUGCACGAAUGGCGUAAUGAUGGCCAGGCUGUCUCCACCCGAGACUCAGUGAAAUUGAACUCGCUGUGAAGAUGCAGUGUACCCGCGGCAAGACGGAAAGACCCCGUGAACCUUUACUAUAGCUUGACACUGAACAUUGAGCCUUGAUGUGUAGGAUAGGUGGGAGGCUUUGAAGUGUGGACGCCAGUCUGCAUGGAGCCGACCUUGAAAUACCACCCUUUAAUGUUUGAUGUUCUAACGUUGACCCGUAAUCCGGGUUGCGGACAGUGUCUGGUGGGUAGUUUGACUGGGGCGGUCUCCUCCUAAAGAGUAACGGAGGAGCACGAAGGUUGGCUAAUCCUGGUCGGACAUCAGGAGGUUAGUGCAAUGGCAUAAGCCAGCUUGACUGCGAGCGUGACGGCGCGAGCAGGUGCGAAAGCAGGUCAUAGUGAUCCGGUGGUUCUGAAUGGAAGGGCCAUCGCUCAACGGAUAAAAGGUACUCCGGGGAUAACAGGCUGAUACCGCCCAAGAGUUCAUAUCGACGGCGGUGUUUGGCACCUCGAUGUCGGCUCAUCACAUCCUGGGGCUGAAGUAGGUCCCAAGGGUAUGGCUGUUCGCCAUUUAAAGUGGUACGCGAGCUGGGUUUAGAACGUCGUGAGACAGUUCGGUCCCUAUCUGCCGUGGGCGCUGGAGAACUGAGGGGGGCUGCUCCUAGUACGAGAGGACCGGAGUGGACGCAUCACUGGUGUUCGGGUUGUCAUGCCAAUGGCACUGCCCGGUAGCUAAAUGCGGAAGAGAUAAGUGCUGAAAGCAUCUAAGCACGAAACUUGCC
Molecule: ribosomal RNA, 1554 nt
Filed under: Escherichia coli
Lineage: Bacteria; Pseudomonadati; Pseudomonadota; Gammaproteobacteria; Enterobacterales; Enterobacteriaceae
Description: bacterial LSU rRNA
Rfam family: Bacterial large subunit ribosomal RNA
Source: RNAcentral